Molecule: ribosomal RNA, 558 nt
Filed under: uncultured bacterium
Lineage: Bacteria
Description: partial 16S ribosomal RNA
Rfam family: Bacterial small subunit ribosomal RNA
Source: RNAcentral
UGGGGAAUAUUGGACAAUGGGCGGAAGCCUGAUCCAGCAACGCCGCGUGAGGGAUGACGGCCUUCGGGUUGUAAACCUCUUUCAGCACAGACGAAGCGCAAGUGACGGUAUGUGCAGAAGAAGGACCGGCCAACUACGUGCCAGCAGCCGCGGUAAUACGUAGGGUCCGAGCGUUGUCCGGAAUUAUUGGGCGUAAAGGGCUCGUAGGCGGUUUGUCGCGUCGGGAGUGAAAACACCGGGCUUAACUCGGUGCUUGCUUUCGAUACGGGCAGACUAGAGGCAUUCAGGGGAGAACGGAAUUCCUGGUGUAGCGGUGAAAUGCGCAGAUAUCAGGAGGAACACCGGUGGCGAAGGCGGUUCUCUGGGAAUGUCCUGACGCUGAGGAGCGAAAGUGUGGGGAGCGAACAGGAUUAGAUACCCUGGUAGUCCACACCGUAAAACGUUGGGCGCUAGGUGUGGGAUCCAUUCCACGGGUUCCGUGCCGCAGCUAACGCAUUAAGCGCCCCGCCUGGGGAGUACGGCCGCAAGGCUAAAACUCAAAUGAAUUGACGGGGUCAU